AACAAGGUUUCCGUAGGUGAACCUUCGGAAGGAUCAUUAUCGAAAUGCAGCGGGGGCAGACAGCUCCAAGGCCGCCGGCCCCCGCGUACACGCAUUAUCCACCCUUGACUUUGAGCACCGUUUGUUUCCUCGGCGGGGACGCCCGCCAGCGAGGACCCCAUUGAACCCUUUGCAGUAGCAGUAUUUGUCUGAAAAAAAAAAACACAAAAAUCACAACUUUCAACAAUGGAUCUCUUGGUUCUGGCAUCGAUGAAGAACGCAGCGAAAUGCGAUAAGUAGUGUGAAUUGCAGAAUUCAGUGAAUCAUCGAAUCUUUGAACGCACAUUGCGCCCCUCGGUAUUCCUUGGGGCAUGCCUGUUCGAGCGUCAUUUAACCCUUCAAGCUCAGCUUGGUGUUGGGUGCUUGUCCCGCCUCCCGCGCGGCGACUCACCUCAAAGUCAUUGGCAGCCCGCACCCGCCGGCCAUGAGCGCAGCACAGUCGCGCUCCGGGCUCCGGCAGGGUCGGCUCCCCAUAAGCAACCCCCCAAAAUUGACCUCGGAUCAGGUAGGAUUACCCGCUGAACUUAAGCAUAUCAAUAA
RNAcentral lists this unclassified non-coding RNA (579 nucleotides) under Parathyridaria percutanea. Its description in RNAcentral is "sequence contains ITS1, 5.8S rRNA gene and ITS2". The stretch from base 215 to 368 matches the Rfam family "5.8S ribosomal RNA". The record is from RNAcentral. Lineage: Eukaryota; Fungi; Ascomycota; Dothideomycetes; Pleosporales; Thyridariaceae.